GAUGAACGCUAGCUACAGGCAUAACACAUGCAAGUCGAGGGGCAGCAGGGCGUAGCAAUACGCCGCUGGCGACCGGCGCACGGGUGAGUAACACGUAUCCAACCUGCCCUCAACUCAGGGAUAGCCUUUCGAAAGAAAGAUUAAUACCUGAUGGCAUAGCGGUCCCGCAUGAGACCUCCAUUAAAGAAAUUCGGUUGAGGAUGGGGAUGCGUUCCAUUAGCUUGUUGGCGGGGUAACGGCCCACCAAGGCUUCGAUGGAUAGGGGUUCUGAGAGGAAGGUCCCCCACAUUGGAACUGAGACACGGUCCAAACUCCUACGGGAGGCAGCAGUGAGGAAUAUUGGUCAAUGGACGAGAGUCUGAACCAGCCAAGUAGCGUGAAGGAUGACGGCCCUACGGGUUGUAAACUUCUUUUAUAUGGGAAUAAAGUGAGCCACGUGUGGCUUUUUGUAUGUACCAUACGAAUAAGGAUCGGCUAACACCGUGCCAGCCGCCGCGGUAA
Molecule: ribosomal RNA, 501 nt
Filed under: uncultured bacterium
Lineage: Bacteria
Description: partial 16S ribosomal RNA
Rfam family: Bacterial small subunit ribosomal RNA
Source: RNAcentral